AGUUAGUGGCGGACGGGUGAGUAACGCGUGGAAAACCUGCCGUAUACUGGGGGAUAACACUUAGAAAUAGGUGCUAAUACCGCAUAAGCGCACAGCUUCGCGUGAAGCGGUGUGAAAAACUCUGGUGGUAUACGAUGGUUCCGCGUCUGAUUAGCUAGUUGGUGGGGUAAUGGCCUACCAAGGCAACGAUCAGUAGCCGGCCUGAGAGGGUGAACGGCCACAUUGGGACUGAGACACGGCCCAAACUCCUACGGAAGGCAGCAG
RNAcentral lists this ribosomal RNA (264 nucleotides) under uncultured bacterium. Its description in RNAcentral is "partial 16S ribosomal RNA". It matches the Rfam family "Bacterial small subunit ribosomal RNA", at positions 90 to 354 of the family's 1533-position model. The record is from RNAcentral.